GUUAUGUCCUUCAAAUUAAAAAAAUUUGACGGCAUUUUAGUCUUAUUAGAGGAACCUGUUUUUUAAUUGAUAAUCCACGAUUAAUCCUACCUACUUUAUUUUAAUUCAUAUCCCCCUGUCACGAAUAUAUUUAAAAAUUAAUUUUCUUUCUUUAUUAUUAUAAUUUAUGUUAAGUCAAGAUGUGGUUUAUAAAUAAGUGUAUAAUGGCUUACAUUAAAUUUUAUUUGUGGAUUUUAAAUGAAAAUUAAAAUGAAAUUGGAUUUAAUAGUAAAUUUAUUUAUUUAAUUAAUAUGAAGAAAGAUCUAAAAUAUGUACAUAUUGCCCGUCAUUCUUAGUUAAAAAUAAGACAAGUCGUAACAAAGUAAAUCGUACUGGAAAGUGUAUUUAGAAAGAUUAUAUUUUAUAUAAA
Molecule: ribosomal RNA, 409 nt
Filed under: Aulacorthum albimagnoliae
Lineage: Eukaryota; Metazoa; Arthropoda; Insecta; Hemiptera; Aphididae
Description: partial 12S small subunit ribosomal RNA
Source: RNAcentral